AUUGAACGCUGGCGGCAUGCUUUACGCAUGCAAGUCGAACGGUAACAGGUUAAGCUGACGAGUGGCGAACGGGUGAGUAAUGCAUCGGAACGUGCCCGGUCGUGGGGGAUAACACUUCGAAAGAAGUGCUAAUACCGCAUACGAUCUAAGGAUGAAAGCGGGGGACCGUAAGGCCUCGCGCGAUUGGAGCGGCCGAUGUCAGAUUAGGUAGUUGGUGGGGUAAAGGCCCACCAAGCCGACGAUCUGUAGCUGGUCUGAGAGGACGACCAGCCACACUGGGACUGAGACACGGCCCAGACUCCUACGGGAGGCAGCAGUGGGGAAUUUUGGACAAUGGGCGCAAGCCUGAUCCAGCAAUGCCGCGUGCAGGAAGAAGGCCUUCGGGUUGUAAACUGCUUUUGUACGGAGCGAAAAGGCUCUCUCUAAUACAGGGGGCUGAUGACGGUACCGUAAGAAUAAGCACCGGCUAACUACGUGCCAGCCGCCGCCGUAA
RNAcentral lists this ribosomal RNA (493 nucleotides) under uncultured bacterium. RNAcentral's name for it is "partial 16S ribosomal RNA". It matches the Rfam family "Bacterial small subunit ribosomal RNA", at positions 30 to 523 of the family's 1533-position model. The record is from RNAcentral.